UUCAAAAACAUUCACUCUGGAAAGGAGUUAGCGGUCUUAACAUAUGCUGUGACACAGGGACUCAUCUAGUCUGACUCCACCCGUCCAUGUGAGGGUCUGAAGCAUCAUUCACACUGGAGUUUAUCCCUGCAUGGGAGGAUCUGGGAGUGUUUUGUUUAUGAUACAACUUAAACUAUUUAUUUCACUUUUUUAUUUUAUUUUAUUUUAUUUUAUUAUCUUUGCAUAAAGAACUACUUGUUCAGCUCUCUGAAAAUACAGAGUUGGACCGGCCCACAGCAAUACUGGAAACAAACUCAUUUUCAGUUUAGCAAAUGGACUGCAUGCAUCUCAACUCAACUGACAUUAUGGCUGGAUGCAGCGCAUUCUAACAAAAACAUUUCCCUGAUCUGCUCAGAAAUUCAAGGACCUGUGAUCGUGAAACAGAGAGAGACAAAUUGCCCCUGCCUGUAUAAACAUUCCCACACCAUUUUACACCCAGUGCAAUUGUCAAAUUGACCACCACCUGUAUAAACACCCCCAACACCAUUCCACUUCCUGAACAUAAAAACAUAUGACACUCAUAAACAGAUGGUCACACUUCCUGUCAUAAACACAGUCCGGAAACGGAAGGGCAAAAGGUCACACCUGUCAAGUCAUCAAUCAAAGGGGCCAUAAAUCAUUUUGACACAAGCACCCGGGUGUCACAGUUCACAGGUCUGUGGAUUCCUGUUCUGUUGUUUUGUGUGUGUCUGUUUAUGGCUUUCACGUGUGUUGCUGGGCAACUCACGAGUAGCAUCUGCCUGCACAACCGGAGGCUGCAUUUUCAGGACCGCAAUCCAAGGACCGCAUUUCUAGGACCCUUGAUGUUUAAUGACAACCCCACCUACCGAAUUACAGGACCAGUGACCGCAUAUUUUUCUGGAAGAUGGACGAUAUUCAGAGUUUGAGUAUCAAAUAGAGUACAUCAGUUUCAGUUUGGAUCCAGCCUCUUAAGAAGACCUCAGAUGACUAAAACUUUGGAAGAGACGGCGCCAACUCCUGCGAUGACUUCAGAAGAUGCAACAUCUGGAUCAACACGCACAUUCACAUUCUAUAAAUCCUAAUUAUUGUUAAUAUGUAAUUCAUUUUUCCAGGAGCUCUUUGCUUCUACCUCCAAUUAAAUUUCUAACAGUGAUUGUAUGUUAAUCGCCUAAAUUAUUACAUUAUUAGCUAACUGCAGUCUCCAAAUUGUAAUGUUGAUAUGCAUUCUCUGUAAAGCUGCUUUGAAACGAUAUGUAUCGUGAAAAGCGCUAUACAAAUAAAUGUGAAAGAAAUGAAAGAUGAACAUUUUUCUUUUGAUAGACCAUCAUAUAUGGCCUGGCUGUGCUGCAGAAUUUCUCUGUGGGAUGCUGAGAAGGCCUUCUUCUCUGGUCUGGAUUAUCAUCACAGGUAAGAGUAGAAAAUGUUUUUUUUUUGUUGUUGUUUUUUUUUUACAGUGUCCAAUGUAUCAUUUUUUUAAGCAUUAACAGUAUUUCUGUUAACCCAGCAGUGAUCAUGCUCUCCAUUUACUAUUUCAGUGAAGUGGAAGAAUUUAAUAGAGUGAGAGAGAAACAAUUGAGAAAAGUGGGGAGAACAUCCAAUUGGUAGGUAGUGCUGCUGCAUACAGAUUGUGAAUCUGUGCUUUAAAUAUUAAAAGAUCAGGAAAAGUCAUGUCAAUAACAUGUUAUUUCUAUUCAGAUCUCUUGCAUCUCCCUCUAUUUAUUUUUAUUUUCUCAGUUCAGAUGGGCUUUAUUGACAUGAAAGUUUUAUUUUCUUGAGAAUCUUUGUUCCCACAGCAUCAAAAUAAAAUGUUUCCAAAUCUUUGAACAGUUUGCAAUAACAGUAAUAUGAACAUUAAUUGGUAUGAAGAUUGAUAUAGUUAUUUUUGUAUCAUAUAUAAUGUGUGUGCUCUGUGGUCACUAAGAUCUUUUAAAUAUUGAACAUGUUUAACUAAAUGU
Ctenopharyngodon idella (grass carp) is the source of this 1955-nucleotide long non-coding RNA. RefSeq lists it as uncharacterized. Lineage: Eukaryota; Metazoa; Chordata; Actinopteri; Cypriniformes; Xenocyprididae. The transcript is spliced from 5 exons. The record is from RefSeq and is a predicted model, not a curated record.